UUAAAAAGCGUGACAAUAGAAUUAGGUGGCAUUACCUUGGGCUGCUGACAUUUCACUGUUAAAGUGAAGUGUUGUAAACUUUUGUCAAUGUGGAAUCCACGUUUCAAAUAUUCCAUUAGAAUUAUAUAUAUAUACUUUAGCAUUAUGAUUCUUGUUAUAUGGUAUCUAAAUGGAGUUUCUGUUUAUGAUGCCAGAUUGUUAUAGUACCUAAAGAACAUGCAACAUGUGUUAAAUUGCUGUAGUGAAAUAUUGGUCAUUAUGGACAGUUCCAUUGGAGAGAAAACAAAUAUCGAAUAUCGAAUUGGUCCCUAUAUGGACUCAAAAACAUAUUCUCUCACACUUUGAGUAGCAGAAAAGUGCUGGAUUUGAUGCAACGUGGGCAGUUAAACUGCUGUUACAUUCACUCUGCUGUUUCCCAUAUGGAACAAUGCUGCAGUGAUGUGCUAUAAGAGCAAUUAACAAGUAGAUACUAAAAUGAUAACGAUAGGGGUCAUUUUUCUUUUUUUAAUAUUUUUCCUUUUAUUUAUGGACAUUGAACUGCAUUUUCUAUGCCACUGUCUGUGUAAACAAUGUAAGCUGUCAUUUCUAGGUUGAUAAUAAUAAAAUGAUAGGCAGACAUGCAGCAUAGAAACACUAUGGACAUUUAAGCAAGAGGAUUUCAAAGAUAUAUUAGGAGCCCAAAGGUAGUAUACCGAUAUAAAGCACUCCUUUAGUGUAGGAGAGAAAACACCUGCAACUUCAAUCUGGAGGAAUAUUGAGACAGGAACGAUGCACAGAAAAAGGAAUUGCCAAAGAGAAUGUGUGAGUAGCUUUCCAUUAAAGAGGGAACAGACAGGUUAAAUUGGAAAAAAACAAGACACACAGAGAGCACAAUCCCUACAGCGGCCUUCUUCGUUCAGUGAGAAAAAUAAUUCUUCAAGAUGUUUCUUAAUGAAAGUAGGCUGCACUUACUGUAGCAACCCCAGGAGGGUUUCGUCGCUGGUGCUGCUGUGGGCAUCCUGAGAGACUUCUCCUCUGUCUGGCCUACUUCUCCAACACUCAGAGGCCUUAGAGAAAAAAGGAAAAAGACCAGCAUCUGAGUUUGACAGAGACAAAGGAAUGGAUUUCUGGCAGCACUCAGCUAUCAAGGUAAGAACUACUGUAAAGAACAGAAGAAAAAAAAGAUAGGCAGAGAAUAUUGACAGCCCGGUAACCAGGAUAAACCCACGUCUUGCUGUGGCUGGUCAAACGGAACCAAGUCAGGCGUUUCAGUGAGGUUUGGUCCCCUUCAACCAGCUACAGCUUCGUGAACUGAACCAGCAAGAGCUCCAAAGCAUCGCAGAGAGAAACACGUCGCCAAGGAACCAUAUACCACGAUACCAUGACAGUAAAGAUUUUUAGAAACACACAUGAAUUAAAAGAAGCGCCAGCUCCUGCAAAGGGCUCGACCACAGAGCGCAGCGGCAGCAGAGAACAGCAGCAGCCAUGGCCACUAUCCCCACGACCUUCCCUUCCCCACCCGAACCCCACCAGUCAGGAACCACCACGCUGGCUACCCGUUCCGAUGCGAGGUGCCGGAAAAAUCAUACAGGAGAUGCCUGAGCCGGGAGUGAUUGAAUCGUCCAAUAGUACCUGGGCUGCACCCAUGGUCUUAGUUGGCAAGAAAGAAAGUCUGCAGAGACUACCGCUGACUAAACACGGUCAACUAGAAAGAUUCCUACCCUCUUCCCCGCAUCGAUGAGUCAUUGGACCUCAUCGCUGGAUCCUUUUGGUUCAGCUUCCUUGACCUAAGAAGUUGCUACUCACAGGUGGAGCUCACCCCCAAUGCCAAGCCAAAUUCCGCUUUCUCUACAGGACAGGGCUUCUGGUAGUUCAAUGUAAUGCCAUUCAGGAUGUGCAACACCCCUGCCACGUUCGAACUGGACGGCAUCCCCAGACAGCCGUGUGUGGUCAACCUGGGUGACCUGCUGGCACACGCCUCAACCUUCUCCGAGGCCCUGUUCCACUGGCAGCGGGUGCUACAGAGUAUCUUACUACAAGAACUUUGUUAAGGGGUUUGCAACCAUCACUAGCCCCCUUGCACUAUCUCCUGGACAAGGAUCGGCACUUCCAGUGGACAGCCAAACACAAGGAUGCUUUUGCUUAGCUGCAACAAGUUGUGUGUUCCCUCCCAACUGUAAUUCAUCUGCCUGCUUGUCUUUCCCUAGUCUGUCCGCAUUGGCUGUUAGUUAUCUGUGCCCCUUGGUCCUGGUGCGAUUUACAUACGAUUUUUGGAAGGUAGUCAAUUGUAAGGUACUCUGUAAUAUAAAAAUACAUUUUGAAAUUUUAGAAACAUAUUUUAACCAGAAGUGCCAAUGUCUUUCAUGUAGAGACAUUGAAAAAAUACUUUUCUUAAAAUUGUUAUUAUUUUUAAGUAUUACCAAGGAUUUUUAUUUAAUAUUUUGAUUAGUAUUAUUGUAGGAGAUUGACUCCAUUGCUAAUUAAUUUGGUUUUUUGUUGUUGUGGUUAUUGUAAGCCAAACCUACAGUAUGGGAGCAGUUAGUUUUCAGUAAGUUUUUACAGGCAGUAUCAUGUGGAAUAAGUUCGUUGUGCAAUCAACAUUUAACAAAUACAGUUCAGUGUCACUUCAGGUAGAACUGAUUACUGGUCAUUUUUAGAUCAGCUAGCAUGCACAUGCGCACAGCUGCACUGUGAACAUGAUUAAAGUGAACCAGCCCUCAAUUUUGCAAGGUGAUGGUCUCAAUAAGUGGAAUACUGCAAUCAAACUAAAUAUUUACAUAAUCAUGUAUAAAUAAUUGUUGAAAGAUCAAAUGAGUCUCAUGUGUUUACAUGUCUUGCUUUUCUGGAAGCUAUUUCCUGCCUUUUGGGACUAUAUCCAGACACAAGACAUGACUGAAUUAGAAUUGAGUCAGCCACAGGUUUACUUGUAGUCAUCUUACAGAAUGGAAUCACUGUUAGGUGUAUACACAGGUCAGAAUGCUAAGAAAUUAACUAAUUAACAAAGUAAAGGUAAUUGUAGUUUUAGAGUAGAAUUUCUGGUCACACAUGUUCUCUGUACAUAAUUAGGCAUUUAUUCAAGUAAGUCAAGUAUUCAAGUAUAAAGGACCAACUUAUAAAGCGGGAGUACUGCAUUCAGUAUUCAAACUAUAAAAUCAAGUGAGCUUCAAUGAUAGUGGAGCAGAAAACAGGGAAUAGGUGUUUUUGGCUUAUUUGUUAAAAUAUAAUUUAUCCCCUAUAUUUACACAGGAAAUUAUAUAUUGCACUGUGCCCUAUGUAAGCUUAAGAGCACUGCAAAUUACUCAACACGCACAAAUAAUGAUCAGCAAUUAUGAUAAUGAGGUUCUCAAUGAGCGCAUUGGUCUAUUUAGCUGCUGCAAUUGCAGCUCAGAGGUGACAGAGUUUGGAAGUAGCCGAGCCCUUACCGCUGCUGUCACUCAGCAUGAAAUGAGUUGUUUGGAAACGCCUCAGCCAACAUCAGUUAUGCUGCUAUCCUUUGGAAAUUAUAUGUAAUCGCCUGCCCUUUUCAGCUUGACAUCCAGAAAUUUGCCUAGCAGGAAAAGGUGGAUUGGGCUAUCUCUCCAACUGUGGUCUGAAAGGAACAAGAGGCCAAGUAGUGCAGAAAACACGGCACUUUCACAUGUUCCACAGAUUGACGCAGGGGUCUAGCUCAUCCCUCAAUUCAAUAUUAGGUCUAGGAUGACCUGCGGAGUGAGACAAUAACGC
Molecule: long non-coding RNA, 3702 nt
Organism: Polyodon spathula (Mississippi paddlefish)
Lineage: Eukaryota; Metazoa; Chordata; Actinopteri; Acipenseriformes; Polyodontidae
Exons: 3
Source: RefSeq, a predicted model, not a curated record